Molecule: ribosomal RNA, 782 nt
Filed under: uncultured Neocallimastigales
Lineage: Eukaryota; Fungi; Neocallimastigomycota; Neocallimastigomycetes; Neocallimastigales
Description: partial large subunit ribosomal RNA
Rfam family: Eukaryotic large subunit ribosomal RNA
Source: RNAcentral
UGAGACUCUGUGCGCGUGCAUAUCAAUAAGCGGAGGAAAAGAAACUAACUAGGAUUCCCUCAGUAACGGCGAGUGAAGCGGGAAGAGCUCAAAUUUGAAAUCUUCAAGGUUUUACCUUGACGAAUUGUAGUUUAAAGAAGUGUUUUCUGUUGGUGUUUUGGUAAAAGUUCUUUGGAAUAGGACAUCAUAGAGGGUGAGAAUCCCGUAUUUGACCAUUACUUCCAGCGUUGUGAUACACUUUCAAAGAGUCGGAUUGUUUGGGAAUGCAGUCCAAAAUGGGUGGUAAAUUUCAUCUAAAGCUAAAUAUUGGCGAGAGACCGAUAGCGAACAAGUACCGUGAGGGAAAGAUGAAAAGAACUUUGAAAAGAGAGUUAAACAGUACGUGAAAUUGUCAAAAGGGAAGCGUUUGACACCAGUGUUGUUUAUUCGAAAAUCAAUUCAAAGAGUUUUGGAUUCUAGUAUGUAAUUGACUUCAUCAGCUUACUGUACUUUUUCUUGCUCAUUAUUGAAUGCACUUUUCAGUUUAACAAGUCAACAUCAAUUUCUUUUGUUGUAAAAGGGUAAUAGGAAGGUGGCUUUCACUUCGGCUGCAAGGUGUUUAUAGCCUUUGAUCUCUACAAUCGGAGAGAUUGAGGUCUGCAGCGUAGAUCCUUCGGGGUUAGAUACAGUAGAUGCUAAGCUAUAGCCUUGUAUAGACAACUUGUUGACUAUGCUCAGUCAUGUAGCUUACUCGCUUAUGCUAUUUUACCUACGCUUAGGAUGUUGACAGCAGUAUAGACUGU